Erinaceus europaeus (western European hedgehog) is the source of this 285-nucleotide unclassified non-coding RNA. Its record names the gene 7SK. It matches the Rfam family "7SK RNA". Rfam says of the family: 7SK was discovered as an abundant small nuclear RNA in the mid-70s but a possible function has only recently been suggested. The record is from Ensembl. NCBI's taxonomy places the organism in Eukaryota, Metazoa, Chordata, Mammalia, Eulipotyphla, Erinaceidae.
GGAUAUGAGGGUGAUCUGGCUGUGAUAUCUGUCACCUCAUUGAUGGCCAGGGUUGAGUCAGCUGAUCUGGCUGGAGAGGCAAGUGUUCUUUUCCUCCCUUAAGGCUCCAUGUGAGUCCUCCUGAAGUUGUGAACCUAAACAGGAAGACCUUCCUCGAAUUGAGGGGCUACUCUGUGAUCCAGAGUAUAUGAGUAGCUGUGCUCCCCUUCUAGAACCUCCAAACAAGUUCUCAAGAAACAAUAGUAACCUUAAACAUAUAUACUCUCGCCAAGUGCAAGGACCAGU